Molecule: long non-coding RNA, 495 nt
Organism: Cervus elaphus (red deer)
Lineage: Eukaryota; Metazoa; Chordata; Mammalia; Artiodactyla; Cervidae
Exons: 3
Source: RefSeq, a predicted model, not a curated record
AUACACCUGGGGAGUUGUCUGCAAAAGACGUCUAGCUAAAAGGUGCAAUUAAAAAUCCCUAUAUAAGCACUGGGAUCCCUAAACCCAGUAUCACAAGCUCUCAGCUUGAGUCCUCCAUUUCUCUUGGCAACUCAGGUACACUCCAGUUGGCUAAACAAGAUGACUCGCCGUCUUCUGAGAAGCAUCAUCAGUAUCAUUGAUGCUUUCCUCUCUAAUGCAAAGAGUGAUGGAGACUAUCAGAGGCUGAAUGAGACAGAACUUAAGAAACUUCUCCAAGAAGAGUUUGGAAAUGCUCUGGAGGAAUCAAAUAAUUCUGAGACAACAGAAAAAAUCCUCCAGCAGCUGGAUCAAGAUGGUGACCAAACAAAUGAUUUCAGUGAAUUAAUCUUGCUCAUAUCUGCAGUGACAACAGCCUACUACACACACAUAAAACCUCUUCUCUACCCCAAAAUAAAAGAAAGGGAGAGAAGAUGUGUAAUUCAAGAAAAACAAGUA